GUUCUGUAGAUGUCUAUUAUGUCCAAUUGGUCAAAUGUCGAAUUUAACUCCAGGAUUUCUUUGUUAGUUUUCUGCCUUGAUGAUCUAACUCUGUCAAUGGGAUGUUGAAGUCACCCACUCCCAUGGUGUGGCUAAGUAUUUUUAUCUUUCUCCUACCCUUUACCUUGAGUCUAUCAGUGUCAUCACGUGUAAGAUGGGUCUCUUGAAGACAGCAGAUGGUAAUUGAUCUUAGAAAUUAUAUCUGGAGGUGCAGGUUGAGGUAUCCAAAGAGGAAAGAGUGGCAAUAUUUUGGGAGUUUCCAGUCAACAAUAAAGGACCAAGAGUGUCCAGCACAGGAGUGGCCUCAGUGAUUGAAGUAUCUUUAAAUGUGUUAUUGUGGAAUUAUUUUCUUGCCAAAUACCUUCGUCAAGCAAAAAUUACUGGUCUCAUGAGAGCUGAAGUAACUCAGCUCUUUGGCGAACUUCAGUGG
Homo sapiens (human) is the source of this 469-nucleotide long non-coding RNA. RefSeq annotates it as OR14J1 antisense RNA 1. The transcript has 4 exons. The record is from RefSeq and is a predicted model, not a curated record. NCBI's taxonomy places the organism in Eukaryota, Metazoa, Chordata, Mammalia, Primates, Hominidae.